Molecule: ribosomal RNA, 497 nt
Filed under: uncultured bacterium
Lineage: Bacteria
Description: partial 16S ribosomal RNA
Rfam family: Bacterial small subunit ribosomal RNA
Source: RNAcentral
GAUGAACGCUGGCGGCGUGCCUAAUACAUGCAAGUCGAGCGAACAGACGAGGAGCUUGCUCCUCUGACGUUAGCGGCGGACGGGUGAGUAACACGUGGAUAACCUACCUAUAAGACUGGGAUAACUUCGGGAAACCGGAGCUAAUACCGGAUAAUAUAUUGAACCGCAUGGUUCAAUAGUGAAAGACGGUUUUGCUGUCACUUAUAGAUGGAUCCGCGCCGCAUUAGCUAGUUGGUAAGGUAACGGCUUACCAAGGCAACGAUGCGUAGCCGACCUGAGAGGGUGGACCGCCACACUGGAACUGAGGCACGGACCAGAAUCCUACGGUGGGCAGCAGUAGGGAAUCUUCCGCAAAGGGCGGAAGCCUUAACGGGCAAAGUCGGGUGAGUGAUGAAGGUCCUCGGAUCGGUAAACUCUGUUAUUAGGGAAGAACAAAUGUGUAAGUAACUAUGCACGUCUUGACGGUACCUAAUCAGAAAGCCACGGCUAACUACGUG